CUGUGUGCAGAGCCGAGCCGGGCUCCCACCAGGAGCAGAGCCCGCGCGCCGGACGACGGUGAGGACCCUUGGAAAUGUGAAACCCUCGGAGAGCAACUUGACUUUGAAUGCAGCAUAUAAUCACCACUAACACACAGUGUGUUUGCUCUUGGCCGGGCACUAUUCCAAGUUCUUUCUGUUUUCCCAGUUUUUCUACCUGCAGACAGAGAAUUGUUCUUCUUCUGUGGAUGCCUCCGGGUCCCUUUGCCAGCCUACCUCCCUCGUAAGAACUCAGGACCACACUGACCAGCAGUGCUGACUGUAGGCAGCUCACCUUCCUCCUGACCUUGGAGACCUUGAG
Molecule: long non-coding RNA, 340 nt
Organism: Chinchilla lanigera (long-tailed chinchilla)
Lineage: Eukaryota; Metazoa; Chordata; Mammalia; Rodentia; Chinchillidae
Exons: 3
Source: RefSeq, a predicted model, not a curated record